CCUACGGGGGGCUGCAGUGGGGAAUAUUGGACAAUGGGCGAAAGCCUGAUCCAGCCAUGCCGCGUGUGUGAAGAAGGCCUUCGGGUUGUAAAGCACUUUCAGUGGGGAAGAAAGCCUUGGGGCUAAUACCCUCGAGGAAGGACAUCACCCACAGAAGAAGCACCGGCUAACUCCGUGCCAGCAGCCGCGGUAAUACGGAGGGUGCGAGCGUUAAUCGGAAUUACUGGGCGUAAAGCGCGCGUAGGCGGUCUGAUAAGCCGGUUGUGAAAGCCCCGGGCUCAACCUGGGAACGGCAUCCGGAACUGUCAGGCUAGAGUGCAGGAGAGGAAGGUAGAAUUCGCGGUGUAGCGGUGAAAUGCGUAGAGAUCGGGAGGAAUACCAGUGGCGAAGGCGGCCUUCUGGACUGACACUGACGCUGAGGUGCGAAAGCGUGGGUAGCAAACAGGAUUAGAUACCCCAGUAGUC
RNAcentral lists this ribosomal RNA (465 nucleotides) under Vreelandella stevensii. RNAcentral describes it as "partial 16S ribosomal RNA". It matches the Rfam family "Bacterial small subunit ribosomal RNA", at positions 338 to 795 of the family's 1533-position model. Lineage: Bacteria; Pseudomonadati; Pseudomonadota; Gammaproteobacteria; Oceanospirillales; Halomonadaceae. The record is from RNAcentral.